AAAAGAGGCUCUCAGUACUCAAGGCCCCAGAGCUUAAGCAGGUUAAGGCAAGGGCAGACUGUUUCUUGACUUGGCUACAAAGUGGUUUCCCAGUGGAAGACAGGAGGUGGAGGAGCAGGACAAGAAAUCAGGACACUUAAGCCCAGGUCUUAAUUUGAUUAUUAGAAAAGGUCCUAGUUUAUAAUAAUGGAGUAACAGAAGCUGAUCAUUACACCACAGAACAAUCAGAGAUGGAUUGUUUUCACUGCUGGUCACAGAGGAUGUGGACAACUUUGACAUUCAUAGAACUUU
This 291-nucleotide long non-coding RNA is filed under the name Phascolarctos cinereus (koala). Its description in RNAcentral is "lncRNA (ENSPCIG00000034060.1)". The record is from RNAcentral. Lineage: Eukaryota; Metazoa; Chordata; Mammalia; Diprotodontia; Phascolarctidae.